Molecule: unclassified non-coding RNA, 248 nt
Filed under: Hevea brasiliensis (rubber tree)
Lineage: Eukaryota; Viridiplantae; Streptophyta; Magnoliopsida; Malpighiales; Euphorbiaceae
Source: RNAcentral
UGGAGCUGAUAAAAGGAAGGUAGUGAAGCCCAUCAGAAGAAAAUCACUCGACUUAUCAGCAAAUAAGGAUGUGAUGAAGGGCCUUGGAACUGAACAAUCAUUAGAUCAAGCUAGUAGUGGAGGCCAAGGAACUUUGGUUGCUGUUGCUCAAGGAACCGAUGAGAAUGUCAAGACAAAUGAUGUGGAAAAAAAUGAUUCAGCAUUACCCAAGGUGGAAACAUCUGUAAAUGCUGAUGAUGCAACUAAGG